UUCCUAUGGCCAUUUUUUAUCUGACGUGGAAAUGGAAAACUGUACUGGCCAGAGGGAGAUAGUUGGUGGUUGGUGGCAAGAAAGCCCGGCCCGUUUUUUAAUUGCAAUUUUUCAUUAAUUAAAAUUUGCUUAGUUUGCAUUUGAAAAGAGUUGGGCCCUGAAAAAAAGCGGAAAUUUGUAUGGAUUUAUUGUGAUUGAAGAGAGUGUAACUGGGAGCUAACGUGAAUGGAAAAUGCCUGAUGGAUGCGCCGAUUCAGCCGGAUUACGGUCUCGGAAACUGCAAUUACUAUUUAUCGAUUGCAUACCUCUUAUUCGGAGGUCAUCGGCAACGAUUUCGAUUAGAAUCUAGUAGAUUGGCACUUGAGAUCCUAAUACCUAGAAACCAAAUUUGCAAUUUCUUUGUAAAUAUACAAAUACAUGUAUUUAGAAAAGACCUAAGAACUAAUUGGAAUGAAACAAAGUGGAUUGUUUGAUAACAAGAAUAAAAUUUGUAUAUACCUUUUUGGAAAAAGCUUUUAUAUAAAAUAAAAGAAAUUUUGGAAACAGUUUUUCUACUACCUAUAAAA
Drosophila yakuba is the source of this 566-nucleotide long non-coding RNA. RefSeq lists it as uncharacterized. Lineage: Eukaryota; Metazoa; Arthropoda; Insecta; Diptera; Drosophilidae. The transcript is spliced from 2 exons. The record is from RefSeq and is a predicted model, not a curated record.